AGCAGUGGGGAAUAUUGGACAAUGGGCGAAAGCCUGAUCCAGCCAUGCCGCGUGUGUGAAGAAGGUCUUCGGAUUGUAAAGCACUUUAAGUUGGGAGGAAGGGCAGUAAAUUAAUACUUUGCUGUUUUGACGUUACCGACAGAAUAAGCACCGGCUAACUCUGUGCCAGCAGCCGCGGUAAUACAGAGGGUGCAAGCGUUAAUCGGAAUUACUGGGCGUAAAGCGCGCGUAGGUGGUUCGUUAAGUUGGAUGUGAAAUCCCCGGGCUCAACCUGGGAACUGCAUUCAAAACUGACGAGCUAGAGUAUGGUAGAGGGUGGUGGAAUUUCCUGUGUAGCGGUGAAAUGCGUAGAUAUAGGAAGGAACACCAGUGGCGAAGGCGACCACCUGGGCUCAUACUGACACUGAGG
RNAcentral lists this ribosomal RNA (409 nucleotides) under uncultured bacterium. Its description in RNAcentral is "bacterial SSU rRNA". It matches the Rfam family "Bacterial small subunit ribosomal RNA", at positions 350 to 751 of the family's 1533-position model. The record is from RNAcentral.